UACAGAGGGUGCGAGCGUUGUUCGGAAUUAUUGGGCGUAAAGGGCGCGUAGGCGGUGCGGUAAGUCACCUGUGAAAUCUCCUGGCUCAACUGGGAGCUUGCAGGCGAAACUGCCGUGCUGGAGUGUGGGAGAGGUGCGUGGAAUUCCUGGUGUAGCGGUGAAACGCGUAGAUAUCAGGAGGAACACCUGUGUCGAAAGCGGCGCACUGGACCACAACUGACGCUGAGGCGCGAAAGCUAGGGGAGCAAACAGG
RNAcentral lists this ribosomal RNA (253 nucleotides) under uncultured bacterium. Its description in RNAcentral is "partial 16S ribosomal RNA". It matches the Rfam family "Bacterial small subunit ribosomal RNA", at positions 524 to 776 of the family's 1533-position model. The record is from RNAcentral.